UGUGUGUGUGUGUGUGUGUGAGUGUAAAAGGAGUGGGAGGGAGGGAAAGAGAACAAGGAAGCAAGUUGGGCCAAAGUUCACUUUUCUACACUGUGGUCAUGCGUCACACCCCCUCAGAGGUGUCCAACUGCAGCGGCAAAGGCUCUGGAACGAGGUAACGGGGUGGGCUCAACGGAAUAAUGCACUGAAUUGGAAGAAGGAGAGGUUUAUAGCAAGGUGUGCAGCGUGGUCCACGUCCCGGUAUAGAGUGCUCGCUCCUGGGGGCCGACGUCCUGGGAGCAGCGGUUAGCUCACGGGGGGAGGUGGACGCCCGACGGCCCGCUGACGCUUGAAGGAGGGUGUAUUACCGUGGUCCUGGGAGGCCCAGGGAUAGCGGCCAUGGAGGUCGCCCCAGUCUCCCUGGGUCUUGUCCUCCUCUCCUUCUGCUCCCUCUUUAUCCUCGCGAUCGCUCUUGCACUUUGCACCGAAUGUAGAAGGUAUUCAUUUCACAUGCAAGAGAGGCCUAGAAAAGAGAGGACUCCAUCCACGAUGAUUCGAGUGGUGAAUCUGGAGCAAGUCAGAGAGAGCCCGUGGAUUAACAACAUCACAAAAGACGAGGAAGGUGAUUCCUCAGAACCAAUGAAGACAGUCAACGGCAACACAAAGGAAAGGAGAGGAGAUAAAUUUCCAUCAGCCGAAAUCAAUUCUGGUGAAAUAAGCGUGAUCCCCAACGAGGAGCAGCACUCAGAGCCCCAGAGCACCCUGUCCAGAGACGGGACCAGGACUGCAGCAGAAGGGCCUGCAAGCAUCACUGCUCGCCAAACCGAUAUGGCCUCUGUAUCGAUUUUUACCCCACAUAUGGAUGUGGAGACACCUCUGCAAUCCACCCCUUCUCAGAAUCUGACACAGAUCCAGUCCAAGGGGUUUGGUUCCUCAGUUCAGUCUUGCGAAGACCAUGAGACACGAUCUCCCCAGAACCCCAGCAAACCACAGCGUAUGUACGAGAGCAUAGGGGACUUAUGUGAAGCCAAUGUCAACCUCUAUCCCGCUACUGGAGCUUUUGUCAAGGACUGCUUUGAAGACCCCAGUCACCAGGCUGUAGAGGAGGUGACACCUGACUCCAGCCCAGCCAGUCAUGUGUCUAACUUGCAGCACGGGGGGGAUCCAGCUCUAUCAGUCCCGCCUACUCCAACCGAGAUGGUCAGAGAAGGUGUAUAUGGCAGGGGGCUGAAUGACAUGUACGCUCGAGUAAGCAAGAAAGCGAAGAGCCCCACCCCACAACCGCAACUGCCCAAAGAAGAAAGGGAAGAACAGGUUGAACCUCCACCCCCUAUCCCACACAGGGGAUCUGAGGAGUCCUUCAUUACAAUAGAACUGGUAUAAAUGUAUAAACUUCAGAACAACCAAAAUCCACAUGCAGUGAUUCCUCAACUCACAAACACAAUUGGGACCAGAAGUCUAACUCCAAAAUCAUGUUUACCUCUUUUACUAAAGUCAUAACCAAAAUAAGUUACAUAAUACAGAUAUUUCUCCAUUUAGACAUGUUACACACACACACACACACACACACACAUUUCUUAGAUACCAGCAUAAUAAUAAAAUAUCCAUCCAUCCAUCCGUCCA
Molecule: long non-coding RNA, 1602 nt
Organism: Scleropages formosus (Asian bonytongue)
Lineage: Eukaryota; Metazoa; Chordata; Actinopteri; Osteoglossiformes; Osteoglossidae
Source: Ensembl